GCACUGAUGAAGGGUCCAAACUAGGACGAGACAGCUGUCCAGUAC
This 45-nucleotide non-coding RNA is filed under the name Trichobilharzia regenti. Lineage: Eukaryota; Metazoa; Platyhelminthes; Trematoda; Strigeidida; Schistosomatidae. The record is from RNAcentral.